GCCCUCGUCGUCUAGAGGACCAGGACACAGCCCUUUCAAGGCUGCGACACGGGUUCGAAUCCCGUCGAGGGCAC
RNAcentral lists this transfer RNA (74 nucleotides) under Chloroflexota bacterium. RNAcentral describes it as "tRNA-Glu". It matches the Rfam family "tRNA". Rfam says of the family: Transfer RNA (tRNA) molecules are approximately 80 nucleotides in length. Their secondary structure includes four short double-helical elements and three loops (D, anti-codon, and T loops). Further hydrogen bonds mediate the characteristic L-shaped molecular structure. tRNAs have two regions of fundamental functional importance: the anti-codon, which is responsible for specific mRNA codon recognition, and the 3' end, to which the tRNAs corresponding amino acid is attached (by aminoacyl-tRNA synthetases). tRNAs cope with the degeneracy of the genetic code in two manners: having more than one tRNA (with a specific anti-codon) for a particular amino acid; and 'wobble' base-pairing, i.e. permitting non-standard base-pairing at the 3rd anti-codon position. Lineage: Bacteria; Bacillati; Chloroflexota. The record is from RNAcentral.